This 492-nucleotide ribosomal RNA is filed under the name uncultured bacterium. Its description in RNAcentral is "partial 16S ribosomal RNA". It matches the Rfam family "Bacterial small subunit ribosomal RNA", at positions 29 to 507 of the family's 1533-position model. The record is from RNAcentral.
AGUGAACGCUGGCGGUAGGCCUAACACAUGCAAGUCGAACGGCAGCACAGUAAGAGCUUGCUCUUACGGGUGGCGAGUGGCGGACGGGUGAGGAAUACAUCGGAUUCUACUUUUUCGUGGGGGAUAACGUAGGGAAACUUACGCUACUACCGCAUACGACCUACGGGUGAAAGCAGGGGUUCUUCGGACCUUGCGCGAUUCAAUGAGCCGAUGUCGGAUUAGCUAGUUGGCGAGGUAAAGGCCCACCAAGGCGACGAUCCGUAGCUGGUCUGAGAGGAUGAUCAGCCACACUGGAACUGAGACACGGUCCAGACUCCUACGGGAGGCAGCAGUAGGGAAUAUUGGACAAUGGGCGCAAGCCUGAUCCAGCCAUACCGCGUGAGUGAAGAAGGCCUUCGGGUUGUAAAGCCCUUUUAUUAGGAAAGAAAAACAGCAGAUUAAUACCCCGCUGUUCUGACGGUACCCAAAGAGUAAGCACCGGCUAACUUCGUG